This is a long non-coding RNA of Schistocerca gregaria, 1337 nucleotides long. RefSeq lists it as uncharacterized. Lineage: Eukaryota; Metazoa; Arthropoda; Insecta; Orthoptera; Acrididae. The transcript has 3 exons. The record is from RefSeq and is a predicted model, not a curated record.
UUAUUGUCCAGGAAGGAAAGUGGACAUUAGAAUCACUCAUAAACCUCAUGAGGUGUAGUGCCGUAUACCGAUCCUGCCUUGGAGGUGGUUAAGUGGGAGACGUGUCUCAGAGCUGGAUAGUGACAGAUGGUGACGCGAGACUGGAUGGGCACGUAGUUUAUGUAUCAGCCGAUAGAGGACAAUAUUGGAUAGGAGACCGAUUUAGUUUCGAUUGUGCCCACUAGAGUGCACUAAAGUAAGAGAAUUUUUUUCAUAAACUGUUCUAGUAUUUUCAUAAAGUGUUAUUAUGUCUUUUUGUGUAUGUAACAUAUUAUAAAUGUGUUUUAGCAGCAUGAAUGAAGCAUGAGUGUGGUUUAAGUUUACUAUAAGAUGAUUGUUUAACGAGUUAUGUAGUGGGAUUUAGUGUGGGAACAUUUCGAAGAAGUAUGGAUGUGGACAAAGGGGAUUUUUGUAGAAUAGAUUUGUAAUGUAAGUUUAUGGUAAAGGGAAAGUUAAUACAGGUAUAAAUAACAAUAGUAAAUAAAUUUAUGCAUAAAAAAAACUUCAGCAUAUUAGAUAAUAACGUCGGUAAAAAGUGCAGUCUUUAGGUUUAGUAUUUUACGAUUGGUUAUUGAUGAAAAGCACGGACUGACGCGGGAGAAUGUUGUUUUGCUAUUGGCUGUUGAGUAAACUGACCAAUGGUAAAGCAAUAUUCUUCGCACGCCUUUUCUCUGCUAGUGGAGAAGACUUAGAGUAGUGAUGGGCUAAACUGCGAUUUUCCAGUAUCAGUGAUUUCUGUGAAUGCUACUUUUCAGUAUCUGUUAUUCUUAACUGUGAUUUGUCGCAGUUAGGAGUCGCAGUUAAGGAAAGUUGGUCGUGUAUUCCUCCGCCACUGCUAUUUCUGCGAUUACUGUUACUUCCAUGAUUUCUGUGACUUCUGCUACUUCUGUGAUUUCUGCUACUUCUGCGAUUUCUGUGACUCCUGCGAUUUUUGCGACUUACCACGGUAUGAUAAAGUUACAUCUGCCCACACAGAAAAUUGCAUCUCAACAAACCUGUCAUUGGUACCCGAACUACAUUUCAGUCACUCAGUAAAUUGAUAACUCAAAAUAUCAUUGUCAACAGAUCUGGAGAAAUUGCCACUGCGUCUUUAGACCGUUUUCGUCAGACGAGAGACACAGUUCUGACUCUUGAUUACUGGUUGAUGUACGUAUCUAUCCGCAUCAAGGCUGUUGAGAGAGACUCGUGAAGAUUCAAGACAGCUCUUAGAGGAUUUGCAGUUUAAAAGUGACAUAAUUGUGAAAUAAGUGUGCAGAUGAGUGAUUAAGCUGUGUUUUAUUGAAGUUAUGUGACUUGAA